Molecule: ribosomal RNA, 434 nt
Filed under: uncultured Lachnospiraceae bacterium
Lineage: Bacteria; Bacillati; Bacillota; Clostridia; Lachnospirales; Lachnospiraceae
Description: partial 16S ribosomal RNA
Rfam family: Bacterial small subunit ribosomal RNA
Source: RNAcentral
ACGGAAGGCAGCAGUGGGGAAUAUUGCACAAUGGGGGAAACCCUGAUGCAGCGACGCCGCGUGAGUGAAGAAGUUAUUCGUAAUGUAAAACUCUAUCAGCAGGGAAGAAAAUGACGGUACCUGACUAAGAAGCCCCGGCUAACUACGUGCCAGCAGCCGCGGUAAUACGUAGGGGGCAAGCGUUAUCCGGAUUUACUGGGUGUAAAGGGAGCGUAGACGGUCUGGCAAGUCUGAUGUGAAAGGCAGGGGCUCAACUCCUGGACUGCAUUGGAAACUGUCAGUCUUGAGUGUCGGAGAGGUAAGCGGAAUUCCUAGUGUAGCGGUGAAAUGCGUAGAUAUUAGGAGGAACACCAGUGGCGAAGGCGGCUUACUGGACGAUAACUGACGUUGAGGCUCGAAAGCGUGGGGAGCAAACAGGAUUAGAUACCCUGGUA